CUUUAAUUUGCACUUAAAACUACACUCCACUGACUGAACACUGUUCUACAAUUACUGUUUUCUCACCUACAACUUUUCCUUUUAGAAAGAAACUCUGCCCUCACCUAAGCUGUUCCUCUUUUUGUCCUUCACCCCUUUUUCUCUGCUUCGCUGCUGCGGCUGUGGUUGAAGGCAUAAACCCAGGCAGCAAGUAAUCAAACAGUUGGCAGGGAAGGUAGAGACAGUACAAAUCUAAUGGAGAAACUUACUGGGAACAAACAAAAUUGUACAAAACUAAGCAGUGGCUUUUCAUUUUUCAUGGGUACUGUCCACUGCAGACCACUCAACAUGGAUUUGAUGGAUUUGCACUGUGUAUUUUUUGCACAACUGGAAAAUGAAGAGGUUUCUGGACUGAAAAGACCCUUCUGCACUUGAAGAUUUUCCAAAAGCUCCCUCCUUCAAUGAAGCCUGAGCAAGGUGAUUCUCCUCUGGGUUUUCUUGAAAACAAAGAUUGUGUGUCAUCUUCCUUGGAAGAGGUUCUGGAAGCUGGAAGGAGAUUAGAAUGAUGACGCCUUUGUCAGCUCUUUCAAUUCUAUCUAGACCUUACUUUCCUGAAUUACAUAUUACAGCUCCAUAUUCACAGCUGGCUGCUCCAACAUGCUUCUCAUCCUUGCAUAAUAUAAACUGUGUGGGAUCCCAUAGUCUUAAAGAAUAAUGAGCUCUUCCAUCUGCUUUUCACAUGUUCAGUCAUUCUUCACAGGCAAGUCUCACUCUGGAGGUCUUUAAAUGGUUAAUCACAUUUCCAAUGCCAAUCCAGAAAUUCUAGACACUCAUGCUAGUGAUGGUCUACCAGAAGGACACUGGAAGAUUUGAGCAAUUUGGAUAUCUCCCUAAUGAUUCAUUUGGUGUCAGGAGGUUCUGAGAAUAACCGGCAAUGGAAUGAGAAAGUGGAAGAUGAACUGGCAAAUCUGGUGGCAUAAAAAUAGCUGUCUUGUACCACUUCUGGGAAGUCUGCAAGAAAAAAAUGCCCUGUGCUAUUCUAAGGCAUGUGUGCUUCAACUUAAAGAUUUCAAGAUGUUCCUCUCAAGACAUCAGUAAGGUCCCUCUGAGUCAGAUAUGAAGAAUAAAGAACUGGUGAAUAAGUCCAUUUUACAAGUUUUUUACAAAGUACUUGACAGUACUUGAACUCUUCACAUUAUGUUAAAUUUUUAUUCUUCUGAGACAUUUAUAUUUCUGAAGGCAAUAAACAAGAUUUCUAUCUGUGUCUUUGAAUUUGUGCAAUGGUGUAAGACCUUCCCUUUCUACUAAAACAUUUUUUGACCUGAAGCUACACACAACUGUUGUACUAAUGUAAGAGAAAGCAAACAAAUAGCAAGAACACACAUACAAAAGACAAAAGUAUUUCACUUUUACAGUGCUGUAGUUUUGCUGAGUUUGGUCUAUGACUUUGCCUGGGGUAAUUCUGACAAAAUCCUUAUUAUUUGGUUACAUCUGGUGAAGAAGAAAGGGUAUUGCAAGGGAGAAAAAGGAGCUAAGGGGCAUAAGGAUUCAGAAAUAUCAUUUCAACAAAAUCUUAAAUCUGUUUUGUUCCACAGUUUCUGGGAAGAAAAACCUACUGCUGUCUCAGGAAGAAUGUCUUAGACAGUCUGUAUAACCAAUUUGGUAGCAGAUGAGGG
This 1655-nucleotide long non-coding RNA is filed under the name Corvus moneduloides (New Caledonian crow). RNAcentral describes it as "lncRNA (ENSCMUG00000017138.1)". Lineage: Eukaryota; Metazoa; Chordata; Aves; Passeriformes; Corvidae. The record is from RNAcentral.